CAUUAAAAAUUUCAUCUAUUUGUACUAUUAAAAACUGGUGUGCCUAACAAAAUAACUAGAUAGUAACAUGUGGCGUGCCACGUGUACGUCAUGCUAACAUACAAAGACCAGUUUUAACAGUAGAAAUGGAUGGAAUUUUUAACA
Non-coding RNA from Gossypium raimondii (Peruvian cotton), 144 nucleotides. The record is from Rfam. Lineage: Eukaryota; Viridiplantae; Streptophyta; Magnoliopsida; Malvales; Malvaceae.